AUUGAACGCUGGCGGCAUGCCUUACACAUGCAAGUCGAACGGCAGCACGGGUGCUUGCACCUGGUGGCGAGUGGCGAACGGGUGAGUAAUACAUCGGAACAUGUCCUGUAGUGGGGGAUAGCCCGGCGAAAGCCGGAUUAAUACCGCAUACGAUCUACGGAUGAAAGCGGGGGACCUUCGGGCCUCGCGCUAUAGGGUUGGCCGAUGGCUGAUUAGCUAGUUGGUGGGGUAAAGGCCUACCAAGGCGACGAUCAGUAGCUGGUCUGAGAGGACGACCAGCCACACUGGGACUGAGACACGGCCCAGACUCCUACGGGAGGCAGCAGUGGGGAAUUUUGGACAAUGGGCGAAAGCCUGAUCCAGCAAUGCCGCGUGUGUGAAGAAGGCCUUCGGGUUGUAAAGCACUUUUGUCCGGAAAGAAAUCCUUGGCCCUAAUACGGUCGGCGGAUGACGGUACCGGAAGAAUAAGCACCGGCUAACUACGUG
Molecule: ribosomal RNA, 486 nt
Filed under: uncultured bacterium
Lineage: Bacteria
Description: partial 16S ribosomal RNA
Rfam family: Bacterial small subunit ribosomal RNA
Source: RNAcentral